UCGCUCUUCAACGAGGAAUCCCUAGUAAGCACAAGUCACUAGCUUGUGCUGAUUACGUCCCUGCCCUUUGUACACACCGCCCGUCGCUACUACCGAUUGAAUGGCUUAGUGAGGCCCUCGGAUCGUCUUUAAGGAACUGUAAAAGGUUCUUUUCUGAUGAGAAGUUGGUCAAACUUGGUCAUUUAGAGGAAGUAAAAGUCGUAACAAGGUUUCCGUAGGUGAACCUGCGGAAGGAUCAUUACUGAUUUAUGCGAACCUCGCGUCAGCGAGGAUUUCGCGUUCGUAUUUAAAACACCCACUCUUAAAAUUUAUAAUCAUGUAAAUAAAUAAAAUAAAAGAACACUUUCAACAACGGAUCUCUUGGUUCUCGCAUCGAUGAAGAACGUAGCGAGGUGCGAUAAGUAGUGUGAAUUGCAGAAUUCCGUGAAUCAUCGAAUUUUUGAACGCAAAUUGCACUCUCCGGUUUUCCGGGAGAGUAUGCCUGUUUGAGGGUCAGUUUAAAUAAAAAUCGGGGUUGUUGCUGUGGUAACGCUUCGGAAUUGGGUCAUCUUUGCCUUUGGGUUUUAAGCGACCUAAAAUUUUUUACGAUCCUACGAACAUGUUUAAGAUUUUCUUAUACGUUCAUGGUAUCGAAUCCUACUAGAUGUGGCCGCCGCGUCGGUCUUCACGUCUAUAAUAAUAUCAUCAAAUGACCUCAGACAGGUAAGAGUACCCGCUGAACUUAAGUAUAUCAAUAAGCGGAGGAAAAGAAAAUAACAAUGAUUCCCUUAGUAACGGCGAGUGAAGGGGGAUAAGCUCAAAUUUUAAAUCUACCAGGUUAACCUGGUCGAGUUGUAAUUUGAAGAAGCGUUUUCCGCGUCCGGGUCGGCCCAAAUCCUUUGGGAUAAGGUAUCAUGGAGGGUGAGAAUCCCGUUCGGCUGACCUCAGGAUGCUUUACGAUACGCUCUCAAAGAGUCGAGUUGUUUGGGAUUGCAGCUCAAAAUGGGAGGUAAAUUUCUCCUAAGGCUAAAUACCGGCGAGAGACCGAUAGCGAACAAGUACCGUGAGGGAAAGAUGAAAAGAACUUUGAAAAGAGAGUUAAACAGUACGUGAAAUUGUUGAAAGGGAAACGAUUGAAGUCAGUCGUGCUGGCGCGAAAUCAGCUUGACCGGCAGGAAAGCACGGGCUGUGGCGAGCCUCAAAACCGCCACAGCUUGUUCUUUCUUACCGGCCUCGUGCACUUUCGCGUGGGCUGGUUAACAUCAAUUUCGAUCGUCAUAAAAAGGCUAGAGGGAUGUGGCUCCUCCGAGAGUGUUAUAACCUUUAGCGGAAUGUGGUGGUCGGGAUUGAGGUUUGCAACGAAUACCUUUAGGGCUGUUCCACCUGGCCUCUCAUUGGCAUCCUGGCGGCGACAGCUUGCUGACGUUGUUAGGAUUAGCCUUCGAACAGGCUAGAGUGUGAGCAAAUUCGUUAAGGAUGUUAACGUAAUGGCUUUAAACGACCCGUCUUGAAACACGGACCAAGGAGUCUAACAUAUAUGCGAGUGUUA
This 1528-nucleotide ribosomal RNA is filed under the name uncultured Glomeromycotina. RNAcentral describes it as "eukaryotic LSU rRNA". The stretch from base 690 to 1528 matches the Rfam family "Eukaryotic large subunit ribosomal RNA", at positions 1 to 695 of the family's 3401-position model. Lineage: Eukaryota; Fungi; Glomeromycota. The record is from RNAcentral.